GAAUCUUGGACAAUGGGGGCAACCCUGAUCCAGCGACGCCGCGUGGGUGAUGAAGGCCUUCGGGUUGUAAAGCCCUUUCACCGGGGACGAUGAUGACGGUACCCGGAGAAGAAGCACCGGCUAACUCCGUGCCAGCAGCCGCGGUAAGACGGAGGGUGCUAGCGUUGUUCGGAAUCACUGGGCAUAAAGGGCGCGUAGGCGGCGGAUCGAGUCGGCUUGUGAAAGCCCGGGGCUCAACCCCGGAGGUGCGGCCGAUACUGAUCUGCUCGAGGCAGGAAGAGGAGGGUGGAAUACCCAGUGUAGAGGUGAAAUUCGUAGAUAUUGGGUGGAACACCGGUGGCGAAAGCGGCUCUCUGGUCCGGUCCUGACGCUGAGGCGCGAAAGCGUGGGGAGCAAACAGGA
This 402-nucleotide ribosomal RNA is filed under the name uncultured bacterium. Its description in RNAcentral is "bacterial SSU rRNA". It matches the Rfam family "Bacterial small subunit ribosomal RNA", at positions 359 to 777 of the family's 1533-position model. The record is from RNAcentral.